RNAcentral lists this ribosomal RNA (119 nucleotides) under Jaculus jaculus (lesser Egyptian jerboa). Lineage: Eukaryota; Metazoa; Chordata; Mammalia; Rodentia; Dipodidae. The record is from RNAcentral.
GUCUACACACGUACCAUGCUGAACGUGCCGAUCUUGUCUGAUCUCAGAAGCUCAUCAGGGUUGGCCCUGGUUAGCACUUGAAUGGAAGAAGCCCUGGGAACCCUCAGCAUGCAAAGUCU